RNAcentral lists this ribosomal RNA (689 nucleotides) under Serratia marcescens. Its description in RNAcentral is "partial 23S ribosomal RNA". It matches the Rfam family "Bacterial large subunit ribosomal RNA", at positions 2242 to 2925 of the family's 2925-position model. The record is from RNAcentral. Lineage: Bacteria; Pseudomonadati; Pseudomonadota; Gammaproteobacteria; Enterobacterales; Yersiniaceae. RNAcentral also lists the same sequence under 6 other names.
GGGGUGAGGACAGUGUCUGGUGGGUAGUUUGACUGGGGCGGUCUCCUCCCAAAGAGUAACGGAGGAGCACGAAGGUUAGCUAAUCACGGUCGGACAUCGUGAGGUUAGUGCAAAGGCAUAAGCUAGCUUGACUGCGAGAGUGACGGCUCGAGCAGGUACGAAAGUAGGUCUUAGUGAUCCGGUGGUUCUGAAUGGAAGGGCCAUCGCUCAACGGAUAAAAGGUACUCCGGGGAUAACAGGCUGAUACCGCCCAAGAGUUCAUAUCGACGGCGGUGUUUGGCACCUCGAUGUCGGCUCAUCACAUCCUGGGGCUGAAGUAGGUCCCAAGGGUAUGGCUGUUCGCCAUUUAAAGUGGUACGCGAGCUGGGUUUAGAACGUCGUGAGACAGUUCGGUCCCUAUCUGCCGUGGGCGUUGGAAGAUUGAGAGGGGUUGCUCCUAGUACGAGAGGACCGGAGUGAACGCACCACUGGUGUUCGGGUUGUCAUGCCAAUGGCAUUGCCCGGUAGCUAAGUGCGGAAAAGAUAAGCGCUGAAAGCAUCUAAGCGCGAAACUUGCCUCAAGAUGAGUCUUCCCUGGGCCUUCAAGGCCCCUGAAGGAACGUUUAAGACUAAGACGUUGAUAGGCUGGGUGUGUAAGUGCAGCGAUGCAUUGAGCUAACCAGUACUAAUGAUCCGUGAGGCUUAACCUU